CCCGCCCGGGAAUUACGAGCUCAAACUUAAAACCCAAAGGACUUGACGGUGCCCCAAUCCCCCUAGAGGAGCCUGUGCUAUAAUCGACUACACCCGCUAAACCCAGCUGCUUUUAGACCCUCAGCUUGUAUACUUCCGUCGUAAGCUCACCAUGUUGAAAGACACACAGUGAGCCCCGGGACCUCAUCGUCAACACGUCAGGUCAAGGUGCAGCCAACAAAGCAGACAGUAAUGGGCUACAAUUUCUACAAUAGAACCCACGAAAAGCCAUAUGAAACACGGCCACGAAGCAGGAUUUAGAAGUAAAAAGAAAAUAAAGUGUUCUUUUUAACUAGGUUCUGGGGCACGUACAAACCGCCCGUCACCCUCUUCGUCAACAUAAAACAGCUAAAUAACCCAUAAACCCACCCCAGAA
Molecule: ribosomal RNA, 415 nt
Filed under: Breviceps poweri (Power's rain frog)
Lineage: Eukaryota; Metazoa; Chordata; Amphibia; Anura; Brevicipitidae
Description: partial small subunit ribosomal RNA
Rfam family: Bacterial small subunit ribosomal RNA
Source: RNAcentral